GGAGUUAGCCGGUGCUUCUUCUGUGAGUGAUGUCCUUCCUGCCGGUUAUUGACCCGCAGGCCUUCUUCCUCACUGAAAGUGCUUUACAACCCGAAGGCCUUCUUCACACACGCGGCAUGGCUGGAUCAGGGUUGCCCCCAUUGUCCAAUAUUCCCCACUGCUGCCUCCCGUAGGAGUCUGGGCCGUGUCUCAGUCCCAGUGUGGCUGAUCAUCCUCUCAGACCAGCUACGGAUCGUCGCCUUGGUGAGCCGUUACCUCACCAACCAGCUAAUCCGACAUAGGCUCAUCCGAUAGCGCGAGGCCCGAAGGUCCCCCGCUUUCCCCCGUAGGGCGUAUGCGGUAUUAGCCUGGGUUUCCCCAGGUUAUCCCCCACUACCGGGCAGAUUCCUAUGCAUUACUCACCCGUCCGCCGCUCGCCACCAGGGAGCAAGCUCCCCGUGCUGCCGCUCGACUUGCAUGUGUUAGGCCUGCCGCCAGCGUUCAAUCUGAGCCAGAAUCAAACUCUGA
RNAcentral lists this ribosomal RNA (507 nucleotides) under uncultured bacterium. Its description in RNAcentral is "partial 16S ribosomal RNA". The record is from RNAcentral.